This 489-nucleotide ribosomal RNA is filed under the name uncultured bacterium. Its description in RNAcentral is "partial 16S ribosomal RNA". It matches the Rfam family "Bacterial small subunit ribosomal RNA", at positions 28 to 507 of the family's 1533-position model. The record is from RNAcentral.
GAUGAACGCUAGCUACAGGCUUAACACAUGCAAGUCGCGGGGCAGCAUGGGGGUUGCUUGCAAUCCCCGAUGGCGACCGGCGCACGGGUGAGUAACGCGUAUCCAACCUGCCCUUCACCACGGGAUAACCCGGCGAAAGUCGGACUAAUACCGUAUGUUGUCCAUUGACGGCAUCCGAUUUGGACGAAAGGUUUGGCGGUGAAGGAUGGGGAUGCGUCCGAUUAGCUGGACGGCGGGGUGACGGCCCACCGUGGCGACGAUCGGUAGGGGUUCUGAGAGGAAGGUCCCCCACACUGGAACUGAGACACGGUCCAGACUCCUACGGGAGGCAGCAGUGAGGAAUAUUGGUCAAUGGGCGUAAGCCUGAACCAGCCAAGUAGCGUGCAGGAUGACGGCCCUAUGGGUGUAAACUGCUUUUAUGCGGGGAUAAAGUGGCCCACGUGUGGGUUUUUGCAGGUACCGCAUGAAUAAGGACCGGCUAAUUCCGUG